ACAAGCUGCGGUCUGAAAGGGAGCUCCAGGUAUAUUCCUCUGCUCUUAGAUCUCACAUGCAGUACCUGAUCACCCUCGUGUCAGUCAGCAGCACAAACUACUCUGAAGUGUAGCCACCCCUGCCAACACUCGUGCCAAACACCCGCUAGACAAGAAGCCAACUCACCUACACAUGUACUUCUGUCCUAGUGUGGGAACCUUCCAUUUAGGCAAAUCCUGCAGGCAU
Gavialis gangeticus (Gharial) is the source of this 226-nucleotide long non-coding RNA. RefSeq lists it as uncharacterized. NCBI's taxonomy places the organism in Eukaryota, Metazoa, Chordata, Crocodylia, Gavialidae. The transcript is spliced from 3 exons. The record is from RefSeq and is a predicted model, not a curated record.